Molecule: long non-coding RNA, 8777 nt
Filed under: Podarcis lilfordi (Lilford's wall lizard)
Lineage: Eukaryota; Metazoa; Chordata; Lepidosauria; Squamata; Lacertidae
Source: RNAcentral
CCUAAAAGUCUUCAUCAAAGUUCUGGGGGAAGGAUCCUGAAGCCAACUACUGGUGACAGGAGUCAAGGAGAACUCAAGUCUUCUGAUUAAUUUGAAAAUUGCAAAAAUAGGGCACUAUUGGACAAUUCCCAUUACUUUUAAUCCAUUUGAAUGGAAGGCAAUGCAGGUUUGUUUUGUUUAUAAGCUUCUGCCUCCUGAUGCUAACUCUGGAAACAGAAAACCUAAUUCCUCACUCAAGUCAAAGAAUGCCAGCUAGAGAAAAGUUGGCCUGCCUAAGUUCCAUUGAAAACAAAAGACUUGGAUGCUUUAAGUUAAGUAUUUCAGGAUGAAGCAAGGUGUGAUAGGUACAAACAUAAGCCAUCACAGUAUCCCGGUAAAGGUAUAUGAAUGCUUAGGUAGAAGAGAUGGUAGCUUGGUCUAUGAUUUGGCAACAAUGUGUGUUGCAGGGUGGUGUUCUGAUAUUAAAUCAGCUAAAGGCUCUACAUCUUUCCAAAAUAACAAGGAAUUGUAUGGGCAACUGGGGGAAAAUAUAGCAAUUUGGGGUGGAGGUAGGUAGCAUACAUAGAAAAGCAGUGGUAGUAGCAGCCUUUCCUCUUUUAAACUACCACUGUUUUAGUUGGUCGAUGUGGCGUUUGCCCUCUCAUUUGAAAAUGUCUGUACAGGGGGAGAGAAAGGGUUAAUAUGUAGACCAAUAGGAAAGCCGGAGGCGGAGCCUACCUGUUUAUAAAAGGGCUUAGCCCGAGGUUUGGUUUAGGUGGGUAGUUGGUUGUUUUAGUGGGUUGGUUGGUUGGGAAAGGCAGUUGGAAAAGCAGUUGGCAGACAGUUGGAAAUAGAGAGACAGUUAGUGCAGUUGGUUCUUGUGUGAGGGGAAGUGGAAGAGAUAGAGACAGGAUAAAAUAAGACUAAGAAGGUAAAGAGUAACAACAUAUUGAAGGCAGUUAAAGUUUAUUUGUGUCUGCAAUAAACUACACUCUUCUUCCUUAACUUGAGAACCUGACUGAGACUAAGUGAUUUACCGGGGAGGAUCUGGUUGGUGGCAGCGGAUUAGUGGUGUACGGGUCAAUAGUCCGUGAGACGACUGGGGGCUCUGUAUGAAUGCCACAGUCUCUAAGGUGCUACUGGACAAUGAUUUUAUUUUUAUAUAUAUUUCGACUGUUUUUGUGUGUGUUUUUUUAAUGUAGAUUCGCAAUUGAACCAACAACCAUAAACACCCCCUUGGAAUACACUAAGAGAGUCAGGGGUACCAUUUACCCCCCAACAAUGCCCCUGGAAUUACACUACAUCCCAAUAUAGUGUCGCCCCAAAGCUGGGUGGGGCAUUAGAGAAAAUGGCAGUCCCUGGGAAACAUUUGCAAGGGUCAGUUGGCAGGUGGAAGAACAGUUCUCCUCUGCAAAUGUGCCCCCUUAGCUCUUUAAUCGACUGUGGCACAAAGUGGACUGUGGAUAGUGUCAUUAAUUGUACUGACUUUUCUUUGCAUUUGUUCCAGUUGGAAUUCUUUCUUCUUUGCACCAAUUUAGCAAUUAGCACCCUGCUUCACUCUGGUUCCAUUCUUUAGAGCACUAGAUUCUAGGGUUUUGUUUGUUUGUCUGCUAGCUUGCAAGCUUGCUGAGUAAGCCCCUGGAAGAAAGCUGGAGAAGCCUUUAAUGUAUUUAGGAGAUGGCCUGUUUUUAGCCACUUAGGGUUAAAAAUCACAUAUUAUUGAAAACACUGGUGGGGGGAUGUAAUUGACAUAGAUGUAGAGCUUGUCAGUUUCUCAACAACCUCUCCUGUCAACCCCAUGAAGAUUUCCAAAGGAAUGGUUAGAAGGAUUGGUUUGCCUAUUGUGAAUUAUCCUAUUUACUUUGGCUAUUAUGUAUUGAAUUGACUGAAGACCAUUCCCAACAGUUGACAAGAAACAUCAUUAUGAAGAAAACCAAAUUUUCACUUUAUGGGUUGAGUUAUCUGUGAUUUAAAGAUCAUUACAAUCUCUUUAAAAUACUUAGAGCCAUCCAAAGAAAUUUUUAAUCAAAGGAAGCCUAUGCCUUUCACUUAGGAAACCAAUAGUUAUGUUACUUCAUUAUUAUUAUUUUUUGCUAAAGCCACAAAAGCUAAACAGUUUCCUAAAAUAAUUUUGAUUUUGGGGUGCUUAGGUUCUGGGGUGAGAAACAAAGCGUGAUGUGUGACUGGCAAGCUUUCUAGUAAUAAUAAUCCCAACAGUAAAAUAAAAUGUGAAAUAUACAUUGAUCUGUUAAGCACCAAAGGACAUGAUAAAGCUACUGAAAACUAACACAGAUACUAAAAACUCCUAAUCUCUUUACCAGCUUUGCUUAUUUUCUUAGGUGCCUCCUUGUGCUCAGAUUGUAUAUUCAUCUGCCUCAAAUUUUGGUUGACUUUUUAAACUUGUUAAAAAGCCCACAUUUUGUUGUUAUAAAACAAUCCUAGUCUUGGGGUAGGCAUUUGGUGGCCAUGAACUGGAUGUUUUAGCAGCUUAUUUCGGUGCCACUUAACAUGUUAAUUUUAGAUAUAAACCAAAGGUGUUACAAAUAUAACCUAAAUGCAUGAAUAUGGCAAUAACAUACUUGUAAAUAUACAACUUUAUGCUCCUUGUGCGUUCAGGAUUAAUUGUGUCUACCACCUCAAGUGUGUGGUCACCAGUGCUGAUGCGUGGAAUGAUGGUGAUGUCCUGACGAAGAUAUUGGUCUUUGUCAGGCUGAUUGAUGGUUGAUGAGUCCUUGUAGAGCCUCCUCGGAGUGCAUUGUCAAGGCUGCGUCAUCUGCAAGCAACAUCUCACAGAUAAGAACUCUCUACACUUUUGGCAUGGAGUUGAAUAGACCCAAUUGAAUAGACCCCCUUUCAGUGUUAUUUUUUUCUAGAAAAAGAGGUGCCAGAACUCACCAUGAGCAACACCCUCAUUCUCUUAGAAUGGCAAUGGCACACACCUGAGAGGUGCUGGAACUAAGUUCCGGUGAGUUCCGGCUGAAAAAGACCCUCUUCCAUCACUCCUUGAAUGGAAGUACACACCAUCUUCAGUGGAACUGAUGGCAUGUGAAAAGAACAGAGAGAGAAAUAUGCCAAAGAAUUGAGGUAAGAAUAUAACCCUGUUUCACAUUGAUCUUUAUAGAGAAGGCAUCCAAGGAUGAACCGUCAUACUGGAUGUCUCCAUGCAUGUUCUUGUGAAAGGAGACAAUCAUCUUGUGGAGCUUAUUCUACCUUGUUGAGAAGUGUGAAGAGCCUGCUUCAACCGAUGAGGUCAAAAGCCUUCGUCAGGUCUAUGAGGGCAAUGUACAAGGGACAUUUCUGCCCUCAGCAUCACUCCUGCAGCUGGCACAAUGAGAAACCCAUCUCAGCUGCAUUGUGACUUGGGAUAAGCCCCGUCAGCGAGUGACUGUAGUCUGUUGAGAACUACACAGUCGAAGGGUUUCCCCACAAUAUUCAACAAGGGGAUUCCAUGGUAGUUGUUACAGUCCUGGUGGUCACAUUUGUUCUUGUAAAGGCUCACAAUGCUGGAAUCGCACAUGUCUUGUGGCAUAGACCCUGUUUCCCAGCACUGUAAGAGAAGGCUGUGGAGGUGUAUCGUGAGGACGGCUGACUUUCAGCACUUCUGUUGACUGUCCUGAUUAUCUUAUCCAUCAAUGUGACCCUGUUCUAGUUUUAUUGGGUAGGUGGGAAUGAACCUGUCAGUUUCCCCCCACUAUCGAUUUUCCAUGCAGAAUUUUAUAAACCUUGGGGAGUGGGUGCUAUGAGACUUGAGGUGAGCACAUAUCCCCCCCCCUUUAAAAAGGUGUGUGUGGCGGGGCUGUAGGCAUCUACUGAACUUGAUGUUCAUUCCUGUAAUAAUAAUAAUAAUAAUAAUAAUAAUAAUAAUAAUAUAAUAUUUGUACCCUGCCCAUCUGGUUGGGUUUCCCCAGCCACUCAGGGUGGCUUCCAACAAAAGAUUAAAAAUACAUUAAAAACUUCCCUAAACAGGGCUUACCUUCAAAUGUCUUCUAAACAUCAGAUAGUUGUUUAUCUCUUUGACAUCUGGUGGGAGGGUUUCCACAGGGUGGGCGCCACUACCAAGAAGGUCCUCUACCUGGUUCCCUAUAGCUUUGCUUCUUGCAGGGAGGGAACUGCCAGAAGGCCCUCGGCGCUGGACCUCAGUGUCCGGGCAGAACAAUGGAGGUGGAGACGCUCCUUCAGGUAUACUGAAGGUUCCUGAAUGAAUCCUUAAGCAGUCUGAGUGCUGGAAAAAAUGUUGUGAUCACAAAGUGGGAGCACAGCUUUCUUCUGAUCUGACAUGCCAUGCCAGACUAACUUUAUCUUAUUGUUCACUGUAUAAAUAAAUACCCUACAAUGAACAGCAUCCAAAGUAGGGCCAAAGUAUUAAACAGACAAUAUGUAUUUCCCCCCCAACAGAAAUGCAAAGGAUUGCUUCAACUUCUCUGCCUUCUCCUUAUACUCUUGGUAGUAGGUACAGAUGUUUCCACAUCUGCUUUCUGAUGGCAUGAGGGUAUAUGAUUUAAAUGUGCUGCUUUUCUGGCACAACAAUUUCAGUCCUUCAUGAGCAAGCAUCAGAACCAUCUCACAGGCUUUUGCUUUGUCGAAACCUUGAGAUCCUAGUGGAGUAUUCGAGUCCUCAUGUUUAUUCUCCUAGACAAAUACAGGAAAAAGCCCACUUGCUCCCUUUGACCCUUCUCCUUGGCAACUGACAAUUACCUUCCUUAGCCCAAAGGGUUGAGGCAUUUGGGACUUGAGAGAGGUGCUUUAUUUGGAACACAUGAUCUGCAACCCAGAGCUUUGGAGUUCCUUUCAGGAGCCACAGAGUAUUUAUUUAUAUUAUAUCAAAUUAGAGGAAAUGAAGGGGCAUGUGUUGCAGGCAGCAACAGCAUUCUGCUUGUUAUAAACUCCCCUAUUAGAAAUGUUUUUGUGAAUGUCAGUGGGCCAGUGCACUUUGGGACUCAAACACCUAGACAGUCAAUCAUCAUAAUGAACCUUUUAUUUUAUUUUCAAAUGUAAUGAAUUACAUGUAACCUCUUCCAUUCCAUUUACGGAGCUAACUAUUCUGUUUCAACAUGAAACCGUUCAGGCUUAUGUUCAGUCAUGUGACUAAAAUGCUGUAGCUUCCCUAUCUCUGAACAGACCCCAGUUCAGAAAGUUUUCCCAAAAAGCCACAAAGAAAUCACAGGAAGGACUCUUUAAUUGUGGUGGUUUGUGAAGUAGAAUAGCCUAAAACUGUUUUGACCAGACUGAAGGUUAUCUGUUAACCUGUCCACUUUAAGCCACACAUUUAUUGCAUGACAACGUUCAGCCUUUUUUGAAUGCUACAAAGUUUUCCCCAUGCUCAAAUGCUCAGGAGUGGGUGAAGUUUCUGUCACUCCUAAAGAAACAACUGCUCUGUUGUACAUUGGCAUACAAUAUUCUCUAUGUUCCACUCAUCCUCUUGUUUUAUUUAAUCUACAGAGACAAAUUAAACCUGAUUUUUAAUGCCUUGUCACUAGCAACAACAAAACUACAUAUUUUAUCCAGGAAUUGUAAAGGUAAAGGACCAUUAGGCCCAGUCGCAGACGACUGGGGUUGGGUGCUCAUCUCGCUUUAUUGGCCAAGGGAGCUGGCGUACAGCUUCCGGGUCAUGUGGCCAGCAUGACUAAGCCGCUUCUGGUAAACCAGAGCAGCGCACAGAAACGCUGGAGCGGUACCUAUUUAUCUACUUGCACUUUGAUGUGCUUUCGAACUGCUAGGAUGUACACCCCCAGAAUGUGAUAAAAUUAAUAUCCUCUAGGUUAUGGUUGCAAUAUUUCAAAAAGUAAUAAUAAUAAUAAUAAUAAUAAUAAUAAUAAUAAUAAUAAUUUAUUUGUACCCCGCCCAUCUGGGCAGUUUCCAACAAAGAUUAAAAAUACAUUUAAAAAACCAGCACAUCCCAAAAGUUGUUGAGUGUUGAGCUUUUUUUUUAGGAAGACCCCAGUAUUGUUGAGCUUACUUUUAGGAAACCAUGAAAAUAAAGAAAUAUUUUUUUAAAAAAAACACACAUGAAUUUUCAAUUGACUUGUAUAAAGUGCCACUAUUCAGAAAUUCCGACUAUUCAGACAUCAGUUCUGUCUUUGAAAUCCCGGUAAUGUCCGGGACAAUCUGGACAUAUGGCAGCCCUACUCUAGGUUUAUUUGUUAAAUUAUUGACAAUAUCAAAAGAUGUACACAUUUAAGUCUUGCCUUUCUUACCAAAAGCAGUGUUCUGUAGUGGUUAGAGUAUCAGACAGGGGAGACGUGAUUUCAAAUCCUUAUUCAGCCAUGAAUCUCACCAGUGGCUUUCAACUAGGCACUGUGUUUCAUUUAAGAAUUAUUACAACAAUGCAAUGGUCAUGCAUGGUAUUCUGAACUCCUUGGAAGAAGAGUAAGGUGUACUGUAAAUAAUAAUUUGCUAGAGGGAUAGCCAUUUUAGAUUUUUGAAAUAAAGAAGCAUUGGCUCUUGUGGCACCGUAAAGGGUAAGAAAAUUUUGAGGGAAUUAUAUCUAAUGAUAGUUCUACUCAGUGAAGACACACUGAAAUGAAUGGACAGGAUUAACUUAUGUGGAUCUAUUGUGAGUAUGAUGUAAUGAUUUCUCUCACCACCACCCCCCCGCCCUCCCCAGUCUUCCCCUUCCCCACAGUGUCACUUAGAGUUAAGAUAAGUGGACAUGUUUCAACCCUGGACUACUUGUGAGGAGGAUCUGCGUGUGACCAUCUGAACACCGAGGGACUGGGGAACGAUAACAUUGCGUCAGAAACAAGCUGUGCUUCUUGAUAAUCUUUGAGAGGAUUUUUAAUUUUCUCCUUUUCGCAAGUGCGUUUAUUUAUUUAUUUUGCGCUGUUGCCUACACAGCGUGUUUGCUCAAUUAUUUGUGCUUUUAGGCAGUCGUUUUCAAAAAGAUGGAAACAAACAGAACUUCCAGUGUGCUUUCAAAGACUGCCUGGCAGCCUUUUGCUGCCAACCUAUCACCCUCAUAGAAGAACUAUUCAGUACUUGCAGCAGUAUCUUACGGUCAAGGUCAAAGCUAAGUCCCAGAAAAAACAAACAGAUCUCAUUUCCAAGAGAGAUGCAGAAUGUUACAGAAUGUUGCCUCGAUCCAGCUAGGGUGAUCUGCCAGAAGAAUCAGGACUUGCACACCCUCCAAGUGUCCCUAUUUUCCAGGGACGUCCCUAAUUUAGAGAAGCCCUUCCGGUUUCUGGAUUUGAUCCUUAGGAUAUCCCUAUUUUCAUCAGAGAAAUGUUGGAGGGUAUGGUACAUCUGCAAUGCCAGUGGCAGGUGGCACAGUGCUGGUGAGUGUCCCAUGGGUGGUGGUGGUGUGGCAGAGCAGGGUGGCACGUCCUGUUUUGCCUCAAGUGGCAAAAUGGGAUGAACCACCCCUGAUCUCAGGAUUCCAGAAUUUACAGCUGUUCGUUCUGAGGAAAGGCAGGCAAGGACCCACAACCCAGGUGGGGCUCGCUAGCUUGGGGAGUAGGUAUGUGAUUCCUCAGCUGGAGUAGACUCAGGACAAGUGGGGGGUCACAUGCCUCACCAAACCCAGAAGGUGUAACAGGAAAGCUGUCCUGGCCAGCUCUCCUGACAGAUGAUUUGGUCUGGAGUCACAGUGUGGAAAUAAAGGAUGAGAUUGCCCACCAGAUACCAAGCAUUCUACUGUACAAAUUAGGCCCCAGUGUUCUUCUUACCAUCCCAUUCUCAAUGUGUCUAAUUUAAAUUAAUCAAUUUUAAUCUAGCAUGUAGAUUCUCAAAACUUUCUCAUUUAAACAUUCAACAAUUUUUGCACAAUCUUGCUUGUUCUCAGUAACCAAAAUUAUAUUAUCUACAUAUACAAGCAGAAAUGUUUCCCCAUUUUGUUGUUUCCCCCAUGAGACAUCGGUUGAAUUGGAUCACAUAUAUCAGGAUGAAUAAGUUGCAAAGGCUCUGUUGAAUUUUUCUGGCUUUGCUUAGAGAUAGAAGGUCUUGUUCCCUUUCCCACCAAACAACUUUCACAUAUUUCACUAUCCAGGUCAACUUUACAAGGUUUAAUUUCCAUUCUUCUCACCAAAUCUUUCUUUGGCAGGUCUGCUAUAAUCCUGAAGCCUCUAUGUGCUAGCCUUUUGUGCCACAGAUGAACACAAGUUGCACUUGAAUUCUUCUUCACCAUAUUCACUCUUUCUUGACCAGUAUCCAGCACAAAGACUCCACAAAGACUUUUGUGCAUACAAAACUCUAGCUUUGGUAACUGUACAUUUGUUGUGAUGAAAAUUUACAUUAAAACCAUGCUUGGUCAGGGUUGACACACUCAGCAAACUCAGCAAGAAAACUACAUCUCUCACUUCAUUACUAUCAGUAUUUCUACCUGCAACACACUUGAGCAAACCUGCUCCUUUUCCUUGCACAGCUAUUUUGUUGCAAUUUGCAACUGUAACUGUCUUUGAUGAGUUUUCAUUUAACGCUCUGAAAAAAAUUAGCAUCACACGUCAUGUGCAUGGAAGCUGCCGACUCAAUUAACGACUAGAAGGUGUAAUAUUAACAGCACCAGUUUUCCUAUAACUUGAUAUUGCUAGAUAGUUCUGAUGAACUACAAAAGCACUUUUAGUUUUCUUUCUGUCACCACCCUGGAACUUUUCUUUAUUAGUGCCACUUUGUUUUGUACAGUUCCUUGCAAAAUGUCCUAUUUUUCCACACGAGAAGCAUCUAGUUUUGUCUGUACCUUGAAAAGCAGUUUUAUUGCUAAAGCACAAGCCCUGCCCACCAGAUAACCAGCACUCUACUAUUCAAAUUAGGCCCCAGUGUUUUUCUUACAGCAGCACCUUCAUCAUGGGUGCCUCCUUUCAGGCCCC